GCUUACGGCCACACCGGCCUGAGUACGCUCUGAUCUCGUCCGAUCUCUGGAAGCUAAGCAGGGUCGGGCCUGGUUAGUACUGGAUGGGAGACCGCCUGGGAAUACCAGUGUGCUGUAAGCU
This 121-nucleotide ribosomal RNA is filed under the name Oncorhynchus mykiss (rainbow trout). The record is from RNAcentral. Lineage: Eukaryota; Metazoa; Chordata; Actinopteri; Salmoniformes; Salmonidae.